RNAcentral lists this ribosomal RNA (413 nucleotides) under Plasmodium chabaudi chabaudi. RNAcentral's name for it is "SSU rRNA". It matches the Rfam family "Eukaryotic small subunit ribosomal RNA", at positions 1 to 412 of the family's 1831-position model. The record is from RNAcentral. Lineage: Eukaryota; Apicomplexa; Aconoidasida; Haemosporida; Plasmodiidae.
AACCUGGUUGAUCUUGCCAGUAGUCAUAUGCUUGUCUCAAAGAUUAAGCCAUGCAAGUGAAAGUAUAUGCAUAUUUUAUAUGUAGAAACUGCGAACGGCUCAUUAAAACAGUUAUAAUCUACUUGACAUUUUAUUAUAAGGAUAACUACGGAAAAGCUGUAGCUAAUACUUGCUUUAAUUGCUUUUACUCCCCGAGUAUUUGCAUGUAUUUGUUAAGCCUUAUAAGAAAAUUUUUUAAUUAAAGGAAUUAUAACAAAGAAGUAACACAUAAUAUAUUUACUAUAUUUAGUGUGUAUCAAUCGAGUUUCUGACCUAUCAGCUUUUGAUGUUAGGGUAUUGGCCUAACAUGGCUAUGACGGGUAACGGGGAAUUAGAGUUCGAUUCCGGAGAGGGAGCCUGAGAAAUAGCUACCA